Molecule: long non-coding RNA, 461 nt
Organism: Contarinia nasturtii (swede midge)
Lineage: Eukaryota; Metazoa; Arthropoda; Insecta; Diptera; Cecidomyiidae
Exons: 2
Source: RefSeq, a predicted model, not a curated record
UUUUUCAUUUCUUUCUUAAAAAACAACUUUUACUUUGUUGUAAAUUAGAUAUUAACUACAUUUGUUAAACAGUUACAAAAUAUUAUUUACAUUCUUUAAAUUGUUCGAUAAACGUGCAGCAUUCAUUUUGUGAGGCUUCCAUCUUUAAUAGGAUCGUCUUCUCCAACUAAAUUAAGCUUAAGCAAACAUACAAGAGCCUUGUUCAACGAAUCGUCUAUUUUUUCCCAAUACGAGCUGGCGCAUUUUUGGUCUUGAAACCAUGGUUUAAAAAAAAAUCGAAUGCGAACAAAUAAAAAAGUCACUUCAAAAUUGUACCUCAAAAAUCUAGGGGGUAUUUUCGAGUCGUUUUCCAGAGGGGGAUAAUCUGGACCCUCGUCAACAGCUAUGCUUCAAUGUGAAAUAGAUAUUAGUUUAUCCACAAAUGAUUAAUAAAAACUUAGAAAAUAUUAUGCGCAUCACAA